RNAcentral lists this long non-coding RNA (370 nucleotides) under Malus domestica (apple). Its description in RNAcentral is "long non-coding RNA (MDOM_LNC003915)". The record is from RNAcentral. Lineage: Eukaryota; Viridiplantae; Streptophyta; Magnoliopsida; Rosales; Rosaceae.
AGUUUCGGGCUACCACUUAGAAAGGAAAUGCCUCAUUCGUCAACUCCCUCGACCAGAGACUUGGGGGACUCCUACCAUAUGCUACUGCACCUUGAUACUCGGAAGUCUCACGACCACUCAGUGACUUGGAUUUUUCAAGCCUCCAAACGAGAAGUUUUCCUCACUCGGGAAAUUAAGGGAGCACUACCUCAACUUACAUGCUUCACUCACAAAGCUUCAACAAAAGGAAAAAUUCAAAGUACUUAAUGAAGAAGGCCUUGGUGUAUUUAACACAAUACGUUGAAAUGAAGCAAAGAUUGUUUAUUGAUAUCUCCGAUAAGUUACAAAUAUGUACAUAUACAUGAAUCAAAAUAAACAAACAAGAGGGAGC